Schistocerca serialis cubense is the source of this 3281-nucleotide long non-coding RNA. RefSeq lists it as uncharacterized. NCBI's taxonomy places the organism in Eukaryota, Metazoa, Arthropoda, Insecta, Orthoptera, Acrididae. The record is from RefSeq and is a predicted model, not a curated record. The transcript is spliced from 2 exons.
UUUGUCUUAGAGCACUAACGUUUCACUGUUGUUGUCAUUCAGUCUGUGUUUCUUGUGAGAUAACGCUAAAUUUACAUUUCGAAUAAGAUUAAUAAGAAACUUUGUGCAAAGGCCACAUCCGAGCCCCGUUCCAUCUCAAGCUCUCUGAGUCCACUCGCUAACUACCCCGCAUUGCCCAUUUACUUAUUUCUCCCAAUCUUAUAACUAAAGUGCAGCUACCCACAGAGGUCCAGUGUAAGCUUAAUCAUUGUACGGCAGCGAAGUUUGGUAGAUAUUCUAACGUGUUGAUGCGGAGUCGAUUUACGUGGAAAAAUUAGUUCCAGUUUUGUCCACCAGGUGCAAAUCUGGCGCAAUGAAUGCAAGAAAGACGUAUAAAAAUCUUUUCAUAUAUAAUGGAUUAGAAAUGGGACACGGGUAGAAAAGGUGAAACAAGAGAGAAAGGCACAAUGUUGAUUUUAUUAGUAACUGCCACUUACACAAUGUGUUCAAUAUGAGCACUAGAGACAUUAACGAAUGUUGUACAGCGCCAGAUUUGCACCUGGUGACCAAAACAGAAAUUAAUUUUUUUUACAGCGUAAAUCGGUUCCGCAUUAACAUAUGAGCAUAUCUGGCAAGUUUCGCUGCAUAUGAUAAUUAAGCUCACACUGUACCUCCGUGAGCAGCUCCAUUUCAGUUAAAACCGCCCGAUACUAUCUAGAAACAGUUUUGACUAAAAUUGCUGCAGGCAUUCCAGAGCUGUACUGGAACAUACACAUAUACAUCUAAUUUUAUACACAGAGAGAGCAAAAUAUUUCGCUCACAGUGCCACAUAUUCAGUUACAAACGCAAAAGUUUUGUCCUCCAAUUCCUUGUAUCACUAAGUGACAUUGCAACCAGAUUUAAUAAAAUCGAGAAGUGAGUGUUCCCGUGCGCCAGGAAGAAAGAGCAACUGGACUGCAAAAUUUGCCCUCGCUGUUGACAGUAUUUUUCCUACAGCUCUUGCUCGGUUUUUCUCCUUAUAGCUUCAACUUCGCGUGCCAUAAGACUGUAUGCACUUCUUACUGUCGACAACAUGGUGUCCACAAGUUCUUACACGAUCACUCGCUCUCCACAAUUAAAUGAGUUUUUCCCAUAUCUUUCCAAUAUCAUCUUGUAACAUCUGGACUUUAGUGUGUUGCGUCAAACAUCUGUGGUAGAAUGAUAUAUCCGGAGUUUAACGCUCUUCAGUGUCUCAUUAAAUAGUUUACUUAUUCCAUUAUUUUGUGAACAGCAAGUCUAUAAGGGGAAAAAAUGAUAAUGAUUCUUGAGUUGGGUGCAGUCUUCGAAAUAAUUUUCCUCCAUUUCGACUCAUGCUGUACAUAGAUUCUUUGACAACACUCUUCUAAGCGCUGCUCCUUAUUUACCAAUUAGUAAAUCAUAUGUCUUAGCCGUAGGAAACAAAAAAUGAUCGAGUAUAAACCUUAGCUUUUCAGUUAAAUCAUGAAUAUUGUCUACAUUUGGCAUCCAGUGACCAUGCUAGAAUGGAUGCUCUGUCCUCUCUUUCCAUCGAUCAUUCAUUUAAUACCUCCUGUAAGUUUCAAAAUUCGGGGUCAUCAGCGCAUGGUACUCUCUCCACAUUCAGCUUACGAGCUGGAAGCAUACACAGUGGAUGUCAUAGAGAGCAUGAUGUUAUUGGGCUUCGAUGUCGCUUUUCAAGCCAUUAUAUUUCAUUGAUGGAUGUUGCCAUGACAACUGAAUAAGGUUGAAAUACGUCUUUCCUGUCACAAACCAUUACUGCGUUGCUUAAAUAAUCUUUUUUUUAGUUGUAUUUACUUCACAGAGAGACUAAAGUUGGUCUGUUGAUACUAAUAAAGACUUAGUGACCACAGAUCACACAAUCAGCUACAAGUAUGCGUUUUAAAACACCAGCCGACUGGUUAUCGGACUAUUCUUUCUACCUUAUUCAGUAUGUAAACCAUGGUCGUGAAUACUAAAUAGCAAACGGUAAUCUGAUCCAAUGACCGUACCAGACCGUUCGUGUUGUAUUAGCUAUACACAGUGUACCAAAUCUCUGUCGUUGCGCUCAUGUCUCCCCCUUAUUAUGUCGGUUUUCAUGCUUUAUCUUCCACCCUUCUCCAUUAGGUUUAGAUGUCUCCUUUCCAUUCCUAUUGAAUGUGCAGAUAGUGUCACCAGUGCCAUCUGGCGGCUCGAACUUUAAAUAUGAAGCAUUAUAGGAAAUAAGACCAUUACUGAUCAGAAUAUUAAUGCCCACCAAAAAAUAAAUAGUUUCUCACAGGUUAACGUCAAACUGAUGAUAAUUAGAGACCGAGAUAUAGGAGGAAAAAGAGAUAAUGCAUAAAACACGACAUUAUUGGCUGCUAGAUGGUAUUAGUGUCAACUAUCGCAAGAUACUUGCCAAAGGAUGUGCUAUGGUUUCAUGUGCCACUACAGGCAGGAAACGGAGUCGAGAAAGGAAUGCUGUUAUACAUCCAUCAAAAUUACUUUUAAGACUUCUUGGAGAAGCAUCAAAGUAUGUGCUUUUUACAAUCUUGAUAUUUUUGACAUAAACCGAUCUUCUGGAGCUAUAAAAUAUAUUUCAGAUCUUAAUAUCACAGGAGCACUUCUCUUCUCCUUGCCCACUGUUUAUUUCAUUUGGGUACCGUCUCUGACGCCAAACACAUAAAAAGAGGGAAAGCGAAAGAAUGCUAUUAUCUACAUUAUGAUACAACGUUUCAAACAAUUUUCUAAAUUAUUCGUGUGCUAAAUAACUAAACUCAUAAAAUAACGUUCUUACAAAAUAUGAAAUUCCAGUUCGUUAUACCCCCUAAAUAUUUCGACCACUUGUCUUCAGUCGGCAUGUACACGAACAUCCUUGCAUCGAUCAGAAUCUGAUAUUUUCGACAUUAAAGAUAUUGCGAAAGAGGAAAAAGUAUUUUUAAUACGAGAAUAAGCAGGGGAGUCUAUUUAUUGUCGUUAUCCCAGUCAAGUCAUGCAUUGUUCCGCUUCAAAAAUAUAACGAGCCAGUUUGAAAACAUGUUGAAAAAAAAAACACAGAAAAUUGUACAUUAAGGUACUACAACACAGUUGAUAAAUAUUUGUGUUGUUGCAUGUUACAAAUAUGUAGUCUGGUUCAAUUAAGAAAUACGAAACUAGAGUGAAAGAAAAGGAGUGGGACGAUUUGACAAUACUUUAUAUGAAUUAAUGUAAUUAUUGUGGAUAGAGGAUUGUUAUAAUUUACGUAUCAUGAGUAGUAAUUAGGAUUUAGAUAAUAAUACUUUUUGUAUCAAUAUGUGUACAAAACUGAAAAUAAAUUUUGUUAACUA